This 253-nucleotide ribosomal RNA is filed under the name uncultured bacterium. RNAcentral describes it as "partial 16S ribosomal RNA". It matches the Rfam family "Bacterial small subunit ribosomal RNA", at positions 524 to 776 of the family's 1533-position model. The record is from RNAcentral.
UACGUAGGGUGCAAGCGUUGUCCGGAAUUAUUGGGCGUAAAGAGCUCGUAGGCGGUCUGUCGCGUCGGCUGUGAAAUCCCGAGGCUCAACCUCGGGUCUGCAGUCGAUACGAGCAAACUAGAGUGUUGCAGGGGAGACUGGAAUUCCUGGUGUAGCGGUGAAAUGCGCAGAUAUCAGGAGGAACACCGGUGGCGAAGGCGGGUCUCUGGGCCGUAACUGACGCUGAGGAGCGAAAGCAUGGGGAGCGAACAGG